AGAUUUCUAUAUUGAACUCUUUUAGCAUCUAGUCUCUGUACUUUAUCUGUGAAAAUAUAAACAUCUAGUUGCAUCUAUCUCUAUAGAUCUUUAGGAUGCCUACUUUAUAUCUUUCAUGAAGAAAUCUAUAUUCAAUCAUAUUUUAAUCGAUGUCAGUUUUGGAUACUCCCACUGUUGCUUUUGAAACCCAUAUUUCCUCAUAUCU
RNAcentral lists this long non-coding RNA (205 nucleotides) under Elaeis guineensis (African oil palm). RNAcentral's name for it is "long non-coding RNA (EGUI_LNC043982)". Lineage: Eukaryota; Viridiplantae; Streptophyta; Magnoliopsida; Arecales; Arecaceae. The record is from RNAcentral.